This 549-nucleotide unclassified non-coding RNA is filed under the name uncultured Bordetella sp. RNAcentral describes it as "partial 16S-23S ribosomal RNA intergenic spacer". It matches the Rfam family "Bacterial small subunit ribosomal RNA", at positions 10 to 558 of the family's 1533-position model. The record is from RNAcentral. Lineage: Bacteria; Pseudomonadati; Pseudomonadota; Betaproteobacteria; Burkholderiales; Alcaligenaceae.
AGUUCGAUCGUUCUCAGAUUGAACGCUGGCGGGAUGCACACACAUGCAAGUCGAACGGCAGCACGGACUUCAGUCUGGUGGCGAGUGGCGAACGGGUGAGUAAUGUAUCGGAACGUGCCUGGUAGCGGGGGAUAACUACGCGAAAGCGUAGCUAAUGCCACAUACGCCCUUCGGGGAAAGCGGGGGACCUUCGGGCCUCGCACUAUUAGAGCGGCCGAUAUCGGAUUAGCUAGUUGGUGGGGUAACGGCUCACCAAGGCGACGAUCCGUAGCUGGUUUGAGAGGACGACCAGCACUGGGACUGAGACACGGCCCAGACUCCUACAGGAGGCAGCAGUGGGGAAUUUUGGACAAUGGGGAAACCCUGAUCCAGCCAUCCCGCGUGUGCGAUGAAGGCCUUCGGGUUGUAAAGCACUUUUUGGCAGGAAAGAAACGGCACGGGAUAAUACCCGUGCAACUGACGGCUUACCAUGCAGAAUAAGCACCGGCUAACUACGUGCCAGCAGCCGCGGUAAUACGUAGGGUGCAAGCGUUAAUCGGAAUUACUGGG